This 100-nucleotide transfer RNA is filed under the name compost metagenome. RNAcentral's name for it is "tRNA-Ala". The record is from RNAcentral.
AGGACGUGACGCGCUGGCGCGUCGGCGACCGGGUCUGCGCCCUGCUGGGCGGCGGCGGCUACGCCGACUACGCCGUGGUCGACGCCCGGCACGCCCUGCC